AUUGAACGCUGGCGGCAUGCCUUACACAUGCAAGUCGAACGGCAGCGGGGGAGAAGCUUGCUUUUCCUGCCGGCGAGUGGCGAACGGGUGAGUAAUACAUCGGAACGUGCCCUGUAGUGGGGGAUAACUAGUCGAAAGAUUAGCUAAUACCGCAUACGACCUGAGGGUGAAAGUGGGGGACCGCAAGGCCUCAUGCUAUAGGAGCGGCCGAUGGCUGAUUAGCUAGGUGGUGGGGUAAAGGCCUACCAAGGCGACGAUCAGUAGCUGGUCUGCACGGACGAUCAGCCACACUGGUACAGGGACACGGCCCAGCCUCCUACGGGAGGCAGCAGUGGGGAAUUUUGGGCAAUGGGCGAAAGCCUGAUCCAGCAAUGCCGCGUGUGUGAAGAAGGCCUUCGGGUUGUAAAGCACUUUUGUCCGGAAAGAAAUGGCUCUGGUUAAUACCUGGGGUCGAUGACGGUACCGGAAGAAUAAGGACCGGCUAACUACGUGCCAGCCGCCGCAGUAA
RNAcentral lists this ribosomal RNA (508 nucleotides) under uncultured bacterium. RNAcentral describes it as "partial 16S ribosomal RNA". It matches the Rfam family "Bacterial small subunit ribosomal RNA", at positions 30 to 523 of the family's 1533-position model. The record is from RNAcentral.